Molecule: ribosomal RNA, 497 nt
Filed under: uncultured bacterium
Lineage: Bacteria
Description: partial 16S ribosomal RNA
Rfam family: Bacterial small subunit ribosomal RNA
Source: RNAcentral
GAUGAACGCUGGCGGCGUGCCUAAUACAUGCAAGUCGAGCGAACGGACGAGAAGCUUGCGUCUCUGAUGUUAGCGGCGGACGGGCGAGUAAGACGUGGAUAACCUACCUAUAAGACUGGGAUAACUUCGGGAAACCGUAGCCAAUACCGGAUAAUAUUUUGAACCGCAUGGUGCAAAAGUGAAAGACGGUUUUGCUGUCACAUAUAGAUGGAUCCGCGCUGCAUUAGCUAGUUGGUAAGGUAACGGCUUACCAAGGCAACGAUGCAUAGCCGACCUGAGAGGGUGAUCGGCCACACUGGAACUGAGACACGGUCCAGACUCCUACGGGAGGCAGCAGUAGGGAAUCUUCCGCAAUGGGCGAAAGCCUGACGGAGCAACGCCGCGUGAGUGAUGAAGGUCUUCGGGUCGUAAAGCUCUGUUAUUAGGGAAGAACAUAUGUGUAAGUAUCUGUGCACAUCUUGACGGUACCUAAUCAGAAAGCCCCGGCUAACUACGUG